GGAGAGGUGGCCGAGUGGUUGAAGGCAGCCGCCUGCUAAGCGGUUGUGGGGCUUAAAACCUCACCGGGGGUUCGAAUCCCCCCCUCUCCGCCA
RNAcentral lists this transfer RNA (93 nucleotides) under candidate division TA06 bacterium SM23_40. RNAcentral describes it as "tRNA-Ser". It matches the Rfam family "tRNA". Rfam says of the family: Transfer RNA (tRNA) molecules are approximately 80 nucleotides in length. The record is from RNAcentral. RNAcentral also lists the same sequence under 1 other name.